AACACGAGCCUACCAAGGACAAUCGUUACGAUUAUAUGAUUAUAAUUUGGGUCUUAUUUUGUUGAGCUAAUUAUUGGCUGCAACCAGAUGUCAUGCAUUGUCUGUUUUACGAGACAUGAUCUAAAGCUAGGGGUUGUGAAGUUUUGGUAAGACUUGGAACUUAAGCUAGGGCAGAUCUUUAAGCUAGGGCAGAUCUUUGGGCACAAAGGUUAAAUCUACAUCUUCUUUGACCAGAUUCGAUCUACUUAAUGCUCAAGAUGUUAGUGGUGCAGUUGCCGCG
Molecule: long non-coding RNA, 280 nt
Filed under: Elaeis guineensis (African oil palm)
Lineage: Eukaryota; Viridiplantae; Streptophyta; Magnoliopsida; Arecales; Arecaceae
Description: long non-coding RNA (EGUI_LNC006862)
Source: RNAcentral